RNAcentral lists this ribosomal RNA (370 nucleotides) under uncultured bacterium. RNAcentral's name for it is "bacterial SSU rRNA". It matches the Rfam family "Bacterial small subunit ribosomal RNA", at positions 30 to 393 of the family's 1533-position model. The record is from RNAcentral.
AUUGAACGCUGGCGGCAUGCCUUACACAUGCAAGUCGAACGGCAGCACGGGAGCAAUCCUGGUGGCGAGUGGCGAACGGGUGAGUAAUGUAUCGGAACGUACCUUUCAGUGGGGGAGUAACGUAGCGAAAGUUACGCUAAUACCGCAUAUUCUGUGAGCAGGAAAGCAGGGGAGUCGCAAGACCUUGCGCUGAUUGAGCGGCCGAUAUCAGAUUAGCUAGUUGGUGAGGUAAAGGCUCACCAAGGCGACGAUCUGUAGCGGGUCGUGAGAGGAUGAUCCGCCACACUGGAACUGAGACACGGUCCAGACUCCUACGGGAGGCAGCAGUGAGGAAUAAUUGGACAAUAGGGCGGCAAGACCUCGAUCCACG